AUUUAUACAUGUCUGUAAAAAAUAGAUUUCUGUUAUUGAUAAUUUUUUAAAGUAACUAGAAAAAGAUCAAAUGAAGCCCCAAACAACCAGGAUAAUAAAGAUUGGAGUAGAAAUAAACUAAAUAGAGACUAGAAGAAGAGUUAGAAAUUGUGUGAACACCUGAAUUCACAGCAACAUAAGUCACAGUAGCAAAAAGUAGAAACAAUCUUAGUGUCUAUUGAUGGAAGAACUGAUAAACAACAUGUGGUAUACACACACACACACACACACACACACAUAUUAUUCACCCUUAAAAAGGAAGGAAAUUCUGACACAUGCCACAACGUGAGUGAGCCUUGAAGACAUAUGUUUAAAAAAAAAAAAAGCUAGUAACAGGACAACUAUUCUAUAAUUCGACUUUCGUGAGAUACCUAGAAUCAUCAAGUUUAUAGUGAUAGACAUUAGAAUGGUGGUUGCCACAGGCCAGUCAGGAAGAAAUGAAGAGUUAGUUCUACAUGGGUACAGGUUUCAAUUUUGUAUGAUGCAAAAGUUCUGGAGAUGGAUGGUGAUAGUUGACAGCAAUGCAAAUGUAACUGUAUAGAACUGUACAAUUAUAGGAAUUACAACCAAAAUUUUGAUAAUAUAUGUAUUUUACCAAUAAAAAAAGAAUCAAAAAGUUGGUUGGUUGAAACAAUCAAAAAAUUGAUAAUAUUUUAGCUAUAUUGACAAAGAAACAAGAAAGGACAAAUAUCACUAAAAUAUGAAAUGAAAAUAUAUAUGUUAGUAUCCAGUUUACAGAAAUAAAAAGGAUUGGGCUGGGGCUGUAGCUCAGUGGUAGAGUGCUCACAUUAAACUAAAAAGCUUCUUCAUAGCAAAGAAAACAAUCAAGAACAUGAACAGAGAGCCUACAGAAUGGGAGAAAAUCUUUACCACCUGAACCUUAGAUAGAGCAUUAAUCUCCAGGAUAUACACAAAACUCAAAAAACUUAACGCACACACAAAAAAAACAAAUAAUCCAGUCAAAUGGGCAAAUAAACUGAACAGGCACUUCAUAGAAGAAGACAUAUGAAUGGUCAAAAAAAGUAUGAUAUAUCAAGAACUAUGUAAUGUUUUGAACAACCAACAAUAAAAAAUUUUUUUUAAAAAGUAUGAAAAAAUGUUCAACAUUUCUAGCAAUUAGGGAAAUGCAAAUUAAAACUACACUGAGAUUUCAUCUCACUACAGUCAGAAUGACAGUUACCAAGAAAACAAGUAACAAUAAAUAUUAGCAAGGAUGUAGGGUAAAAGGUACACUCCUACAUAGCUGGUGGGACUGCAAACUGGGUUCAACCACUCUGGAAAGCUGUACAGAGAUUCCUCAGAAAACUUGGAAUGGAACCACCAUUUGACCCAGUUAUCCAACUCCUCAGCUUAUAUCCAAAUGACUUAAAAUCCGCAUACUACAGUGAUGCAGACGCAUCAAUGUUUAUAGCAGCUCGAUUCAUAAUAGUCAAGCUUUGGAAACAACCCAGGUGCUCUUCAACAGAUGAAUGGAUAAAGAAAAUUUGGUAAAUGUACACAAUGAAAUAUUGCUCAGCCAUAAAGAAGAAUUAAAUUAUGAUACUUGCCAGUAAAUGGAUGGAACUGGAGACUAUCAUUUCCAAAGAUACCUAUGUGAAAACCCUAAGUGAAAUAAAUCAAAAUCCCAAAAAGCCAAAGGCCAAAUGUUCUCUUUGAUAUACAGAUGAUAACACAUAAUUAGUAGGGAGGGAAGAAUAGAAAUUCAUUAGAUUAGACAAAGGGGAAUGAAAGAAAGGGAGAGGGGAUGGGAAUAGGAAAGACAGUAGAAUAAAUCAGACAUAACUUUCCUAUGCUCACAUAUGAAUACACAACCAGUGUAACUCCAUAUCAUGUUUAACCACAAGAAUGGUACAAAAAUUGUGAUGGGUUGCACCCCAUCACAUGUAUAAAAUGUAUAAAAUGUCAAAAUACACCAUAUAUCAUGGGUGUAAAAAAAAACAAAAUGAAACAAAAAAACCAAAGGCAGAUAUAAUCAGACUGAAUAAGAAAUAAAUAUGGAGGAGAAAGCUGUUGUAAAAGUGAGAAUAGCAUUAUAUCCCCACAACAAGGUGUAUUCUGGAAAUUUUAAAAUGUAAUCAUAUGAACAUUAUUUUCAUUAAAAAUAUGAAAAGAGGAGUCAAGAACACGCAAGAUUCCACAUAUCUCUGCUACUUUUCAACCUUGCAAAGGAGAUCCCAAGCAAUGUAAUCAAAUGGGAAUAAAAAGAUAUAAAUAUAACAUUGAAUGAACACAAAACUGUGAAUAAUCCCAGAUGAUAUGACCAUUUACCUAGAAAACCCAAGAGGAUCAACUGACAAACUAUUAAAACCAAGAACUGAAUUUUAUAUAUGGUCCAAAAUAAUAACAUCAUCCAAAAUUAAAAAAAAAAAACUAUUGUUUUCUUUAGCAC
RNAcentral lists this long non-coding RNA (2428 nucleotides) under Marmota monax (woodchuck). The record is from RNAcentral. Lineage: Eukaryota; Metazoa; Chordata; Mammalia; Rodentia; Sciuridae.